This 495-nucleotide ribosomal RNA is filed under the name Triticum aestivum (bread wheat). RNAcentral describes it as "partial small subunit ribosomal RNA". Lineage: Eukaryota; Viridiplantae; Streptophyta; Magnoliopsida; Poales; Poaceae. The record is from RNAcentral.
AUUCAUACUGAUAAUGGCCGUGAAUUUAAUAACAAGGCGUUUCGUAAUUUUCUCACUAAUCACGGCAUUGUCUUCCAUCUCACUUGCCCCUACACAUCUCAACAGAAUGGUCGUGCCGAGCGGAUCAUACGGACUUUAACUGAAGGCCUUCACAGUCUCCUGUUUCAUUCCUCUAUGCCCACGAAAUUUUGGCCAGACGCCCUAGCCACCACGACCUACCUCUUAAACCUACGUCCAUGCCGGCCACGUCAACACAUCACGCCAUUUGAGCUCCUAUACGGCAAGACCCCCUCCUACUCCCACCUUUGUGUGUUUGGCAGCCUCUGUUAUCCUAACACUACAGCUACAGCCCCCAACAAGCUUUCCCCUCGCUCACGUGCAUGUGUGUUCCUGGGCUACCCUCCCGACCACGCUAGAUACAAGUGCUUUGAUCCACAUACCGGCCGGAUAAUCAUCUCCCGUCACGUCUUCUUCGACAAACGCCAGUUUCCGUUU